GGAAAACAGUAGAACUAACAAGCCCAUAGUUUAGAACAGAUCAACUAUGUUAUAUCUUGCCCAUCAAUCUUCUAUAAACUAAUAAUAUUACAGUUCCCACUGGAUGCCAAAACUCGUCAACAAGUGCAUCAAGUUUCAAUUUUUCUUUUGUUGUCCUGCCAACAGGAAUGCAAAUAUAAUGUGCAGGAACAAGUUGAACCCUUCACAAGUUAAUCAAGUUUACUUUUAGAAUCAUGAGUCAAGCAAUCCACAUACUCGUGAAUCAAUUUGUGGCAUCCAUAGAAAAAAGUAUGCAAACUGUAUCACUAAACAAACUACCAAUAGAGUACUUCAAAUUCUAGACAUAUACCGCACCAGGA
Molecule: unclassified non-coding RNA, 359 nt
Filed under: Hevea brasiliensis (rubber tree)
Lineage: Eukaryota; Viridiplantae; Streptophyta; Magnoliopsida; Malpighiales; Euphorbiaceae
Source: RNAcentral